CCUACGGGAGGCAGCAGUAAGGAAUAUUGGUCAAUGGACGAAAGUCUGAACCAGCCAUGCCGCGUGAAGGAUGAAGGCCCUCUGGGUUGUAAACUUCUUCUAUAGGGGACGAAAAAAGGGCAUUCUUGCUCACUUGACGGUACCCUAGGAAUAAGCACCGGCUAACUCCGUGCCAGCAGCCGCGGUAAUACGGAGGGUGCAAGCGUUAUCCGGAUUUACUGGGUUUAAAGGGUGCGUAGGUGGGUUGGUAAGUCAGCGGUGAAAUCUUCGAGCUUAACUCGGAAACUGCCAUUGAUACUAUCAAUCUUGAAUCAUCUAGAGGUAAGCGGAAUAUGUCAUGUAGCGGUGAAAUGCUUAGAUAUGACAUAGAACACCAAUUGCGAAGGCAGCUUACUAUGGAUGUAUUGACACUGAGGCACGAAAAGCGUGGGGAUCAAACAGGAUUAGAUACCCUGGUAGUCCACGCCCUAAACUAUGGAUACUCGACAUUUGCGAUAUACUGUAAGUGUCUGAGCGAAAGCAUUAAGUAUCCCACCUGGAAGUACGAUCGCAAGAUUGAAACUCAAAAGUAGUAAGUUAGGACGCGUAGGAGACGUUACGACCCGAGGACCACCACGGGAGGGGAGUAGGG
This 631-nucleotide ribosomal RNA is filed under the name uncultured bacterium. RNAcentral describes it as "bacterial SSU rRNA". It matches the Rfam family "Bacterial small subunit ribosomal RNA", at positions 338 to 1415 of the family's 1533-position model. The record is from RNAcentral.